RNAcentral lists this ribosomal RNA (254 nucleotides) under uncultured bacterium. RNAcentral describes it as "partial 16S ribosomal RNA". It matches the Rfam family "Bacterial small subunit ribosomal RNA", at positions 524 to 776 of the family's 1533-position model. The record is from RNAcentral.
UACGUAGGGGGCAAGCGUUGUCCGGAAUCAUUGGGCGUAAAGCGCGCGUAGGCGGCCCGGUAAGUCCGCUGUAAAAGUCCAGGGCUCAACCCUGGAAAGCCGGUGGAUACUGUCGGGCUAGAGUCCGGAAGAGGCGAGUGGAAUUCCUGGUGUAGCGGUGGAAUGCGCAGGAUAUCAGGAGGAACACCGAUGGCGAAGGCAGCUCGCUGGGACGUUACUGACGCUGAGACGCGAAAGCGUGGGGAGCAAACAGG